Long non-coding RNA from Gigantopelta aegis, 251 nucleotides. RefSeq lists it as uncharacterized. Lineage: Eukaryota; Metazoa; Mollusca; Gastropoda; Neomphalida; Peltospiridae. The transcript has 4 exons. The record is from RefSeq and is a predicted model, not a curated record.
UGUACCUUGUCGGUAUCUAUACACAGGGAGUGACGUCAUCAACAGCGAUGCACACCUUACCUUGGUCAGCGGGCAGAGCUGGUCUGUUGGGAAUCACAAUAGGCACCAUUUUGCAAUGCGUCAUGUUCAAAAGGCGACAAACCAGAGAUCUAGAAACAAGAGAAGAACAGCAUUCUCUGCUGAGUUCUUCUUCAAGUGAAACGUGUCCAGCAAGCGACAGACAACUGAAAUGUUUUCAAAACAGAACAACG